UGAGGGCCUGAGGGUGGU
This 18-nucleotide microRNA is filed under the name Gallus gallus (chicken). RNAcentral's name for it is "microRNA Ros-gga". Lineage: Eukaryota; Metazoa; Chordata; Aves; Galliformes; Phasianidae. The record is from RNAcentral.